UACGUGGGGUGCGAGCGUUGUCCGGAAUUAUUGGGCGUAAAGAGCUCGUAGGCGGUGUGUCACGUCGGCCGUGAAAACCUGCAGCUUAACUGUGGGCGUGCGGUCGAUACGGGCAUCACUGGAGUUCGGCAGGGGAGACUGGAAUUCCUGGUGUAGCGGUGAAAUGCGCAGAUAUCAGGAGGAACACCGGUGGCGAAGGCGGGUCUCUGGGCCGAUACUGACGCUGAGGAGCGAAAGCGUGGGGAGCAAACAGG
RNAcentral lists this ribosomal RNA (254 nucleotides) under uncultured bacterium. Its description in RNAcentral is "partial 16S ribosomal RNA". It matches the Rfam family "Bacterial small subunit ribosomal RNA", at positions 524 to 776 of the family's 1533-position model. The record is from RNAcentral.